GGAAAGGUGCAGGAGUGGUUGAUCUGGCUCGCCUGGAAAGCGUGUAUACCGCAAGGUAUCAAGGGUUCGAAUCCCUUCCUUUCCGCCA
RNAcentral lists this transfer RNA (88 nucleotides) under Chitinophaga oryziterrae. Its description in RNAcentral is "tRNA-Ser". It matches the Rfam family "tRNA". From Rfam's summary of the family: Transfer RNA (tRNA) molecules are approximately 80 nucleotides in length. Their secondary structure includes four short double-helical elements and three loops (D, anti-codon, and T loops). Further hydrogen bonds mediate the characteristic L-shaped molecular structure. tRNAs have two regions of fundamental functional importance: the anti-codon, which is responsible for specific mRNA codon recognition, and the 3' end, to which the tRNAs corresponding amino acid is attached (by aminoacyl-tRNA synthetases). tRNAs cope with the degeneracy of the genetic code in two manners: having more than one tRNA (with a specific anti-codon) for a particular amino acid; and 'wobble' base-pairing, i.e. permitting non-standard base-pairing at the 3rd anti-codon position. The record is from RNAcentral. Lineage: Bacteria; Pseudomonadati; Bacteroidota; Chitinophagia; Chitinophagales; Chitinophagaceae.